ACGAACGCUGGCGGCGUGCCUCAUACAUGCAAGUUGAGCGCUGAAGGUUGGUACUUGUACCAACUGGAUGAGCAGCGAACGGGUGAGUAACGCGUGGGGAAUCUGCCUUUGAGCGGGGGACAACAUUUGGAAACGAAUGCUAAUACCGCAUAAAAACUUUAAACACAAGUUUUAAGUUUGAAAGAUGCAAUUGCAUCACUCAAAGAGGAUCCCGCGUUGUAUUAGCUAGUUGGUGAGGUAAAGGCUCACCAAGGCGAUGAUACAUAGCCGACCUGAGAGGGUGAUCGGCCACAUUGGGACUGGGACACGGCCCACACUCCUGCGGGAGGCAGCAGUAGGGAAUCUUCGGCAAUGGCCGAAAGUCUGACCGAGCAACGCCGCGUGAGUGAAGAAGGUUUUCGGAUCGUAAAACUCUGUUGGUAGAGAAGAACGUUGGUGAGAGUGGAAAGCUCAUCAAGUGACGGUAACUACCCAGAAAGGGCCGGCUAACUACGUG
This 496-nucleotide ribosomal RNA is filed under the name uncultured bacterium. RNAcentral describes it as "partial 16S ribosomal RNA". It matches the Rfam family "Bacterial small subunit ribosomal RNA", at positions 29 to 507 of the family's 1533-position model. The record is from RNAcentral.